Molecule: ribosomal RNA, 122 nt
Filed under: Hanseniaspora uvarum DSM 2768
Lineage: Eukaryota; Fungi; Ascomycota; Saccharomycetes; Saccharomycodales; Saccharomycodaceae
Source: RNAcentral
GUAGUUGUGAAUGUGUUCAUUCUCUUCUGCCUUUCUUGUUUCUUCUGUCUUUUCUGCCUAAUUUUCUUUAUUUCUUGCUUUGAAUAAACAGUGUUGUAUGCAUCUGCCUCACUACACCUUUA